Molecule: long non-coding RNA, 268 nt
Filed under: Capsicum annuum
Lineage: Eukaryota; Viridiplantae; Streptophyta; Magnoliopsida; Solanales; Solanaceae
Description: long non-coding RNA (CANN_LNC019677)
Source: RNAcentral
UGAAGGAUUAAAAUUGAUAGUUGGGGGUGGAACUGAGAAGUUGAUUAAAAGGGAUUAAUUUAGACUAACUUUGAUUUAUUAUUGCUUUGUUUAAAUUUGGAAAGCAUGAAUAUUGUCGGAACGUGAUAGUAUCAUGAUAGUCGGAUAGGCAAAUGUAGGUUCGGGUAAGCAAAUUUAGAACUUGUGUUUUGGUUGAAUGUUUGAAUAUGCGUGCGAAUAUUUCUUCCUAGUUUAUCGUAUUUAAUUCGAGUGUAUUCGUUUGGCUGGG